RNAcentral lists this ribosomal RNA (255 nucleotides) under uncultured bacterium. RNAcentral's name for it is "partial 16S ribosomal RNA". It matches the Rfam family "Bacterial small subunit ribosomal RNA", at positions 77 to 334 of the family's 1533-position model. The record is from RNAcentral.
CAAACUGGAGAUGGCGACCGGCGCACGGGUGAGUAACACGUAUCCAACCUGCCGAUAACUCGGGGAUAGCCUUUCGAAAGAAAGAUUAAUACCCGAUGGCAUAAUAGAACCGCAUGGUUUGGUUAUUAAAGAAUUUCGGUUAUCGAUGGGGAUGCGUUCCAUUAGGCAGUUGGUGGGGUAACGGCCCACCAAACCUUCGAUGGAUAGGGGUUCUGAGAGGAAGGUCCCCCACAUUGGAACUGAGACACGGUCCAA